RNAcentral lists this ribosomal RNA (314 nucleotides) under uncultured bacterium. RNAcentral's name for it is "bacterial SSU rRNA". It matches the Rfam family "Bacterial small subunit ribosomal RNA", at positions 28 to 334 of the family's 1533-position model. The record is from RNAcentral.
GAUGAACGCUAGCUACAGGCUUAACACAUGCAAGUCGAGGGGCAUCAGGAAGAAAGCUUGCUUUCUUUGCUGGCGACCGGCGCACGGGUGAGUAACACGUAUCCAACCUGCCCUUUACUCGGGGAUAGCCUUUCGAAAGAAAGAUUAAUACCCGAUAGCAUAAUGAUUCCGCAUGGUUUCAUUAUUAAAGGAUUCCGGUAGAGGAUGGGGAUGCGUUCCAUUAGCUAGUUGGUAAGGUAACGGCUUACCAAGGCAAUGAUGCAUAGCCGAGUUGAGAGACUGAUCGGCCACAUUGGGACUGAGACACGGCCCAA